This 230-nucleotide long non-coding RNA is filed under the name Elaeis guineensis (African oil palm). RNAcentral describes it as "long non-coding RNA (EGUI_LNC013443)". Lineage: Eukaryota; Viridiplantae; Streptophyta; Magnoliopsida; Arecales; Arecaceae. The record is from RNAcentral.
GCGUUGCAUCGUCUUUCUUAAUACAGGAUUAAGAAUAAGCAUGAGUGAAGGCUUAGGGGAGAGAGUCCAAACAAGUUUGAUCACAUCAGGAUUCACGUUGUGGAAAGUGAUUCAAUUUCAAAGUUGAAAAGAGAAUAGUCUAAGUAUUUCCCAUCAAAAGCAUACACAGUAAAAUAUGAUAAGAAGCCAUGCAGCAGUUGCGGUAAACAAGUGAAUUUCCAGGAGGGCUG